This 895-nucleotide ribosomal RNA is filed under the name Rhizopus arrhizus. Its description in RNAcentral is "eukaryotic LSU rRNA". It matches the Rfam family "Eukaryotic large subunit ribosomal RNA", at positions 85 to 912 of the family's 3401-position model. Lineage: Eukaryota; Fungi; Mucoromycota; Mucoromycetes; Mucorales; Rhizopodaceae. The record is from RNAcentral.
AACGGCGAGUGAAGAGGAAAGAGCUCAAAGUUGGAACCUGUUUGGCCUAGCUAAACCGGAUUGUAGACUGUAGAAGUGUUUUCCAGGCAAGCCGAGUAAAUAAGUCCUUUGGAACAGGGCAUCAUAGAGGGUGAGAAUCCCGUCUUUGGCUUGAGCAUUUGCCUUUUGUGAUACGCUUUCAAAGAGUCAGGUUGUUUGGGAAUGCAGCCUAAAUUGGGUGGUAAAUCUCACCUAAAGCUAAAUAUUGGCGAGAAACCGAUAGCGAACAAGUACCGUGAGGGAAAGAUGAAAAGAACUUUGAAAAGAGAGUUAAACAGUAUGUGAAAUUGUUAAAAGGGAACCGUUUGGAGCCAGACUGGCUUGUCUGUAAUCAAUCUAGGCUUCGGCCUGGAUGCACUUGCAGGCUAUGCCUGCCAACGACAAUUUGACUUGAGGGAAAAAACUAAGGGAAAUGUGGCCCACUUGUGGGUGUUAUAGUCCCUUAGAAAAUACCUUGGGUUGGAUUGAGGAACGCAGCGAAUGCUUUUUGGCGAGUUUUCCAGGAAGGUUUUCUGAGGUACUACGGUAUCAAGGUUGAUCUUUUUGGUUAUACUUCUAUUCGCUUAGGUUGUUGGCUUAAUGACUCUAAAUGACCCGUCUUGAAACACGGACCCAGGAGUCCACCAUUAUUGCGAGUAUUUGGGUGCCAAACCCAUAUGCGUAAGGAAACUGAUUGAUACGAAUCCAUUAAGGAGGCAGUAUCGUCCGGCGCUGACGUUUUAUACUGAAUUGACCGAGACAAAGCACUAAUGAUGGGACCCGAAAGAUGGUGAACUAUGCCUGAAUAGGGUGAAGCCAGAGGAAACUCUGGUGGAGGCUCGUAGCGAUUCUGACGUGCAAAUCGAUCGUCAAAUUU